This 576-nucleotide long non-coding RNA is filed under the name Mytilus galloprovincialis (Mediterranean mussel). Lineage: Eukaryota; Metazoa; Mollusca; Bivalvia; Mytilida; Mytilidae. The record is from RNAcentral.
CAAUGAACCGUGAAAAUGAGGUCAGGGUCAAAAGAAACCUGCGCUACUGACAUAAAGAUCAUAAAAUAUUUCCAUACACUAAAUAAAGUUGACCUAUGGCAUAUAGUAUUAGAUAAAAAGACCAAAACUCAAAAACUUAACUUUGACCACUGAACAUGAAAAUGAGGUCAAGGUCACAUGACAUCUGCCCGCUAGACAUGUACACCUUACAAUCAUUCCAUACAACAAAUACAGUAGACCUAUUGCAUAUAGUAUGAAAAAAACAGACCAAAACACAAAAAUUUAACUAUAACCACUGAACCAUGAAAAUGAGGUCAAGGUCACAUGACAUCUGCCCGCUAGACAUGUACACCUUACAAUCAUUCCAUACAACAAAUAUAGUAGACCUAUUGCAUAUAGUAUGAAAAAAACAGACCAAAACACAAAAAUUUAACUAUAACCACUGAACCAUGAAAAUGAGGUCAAGGUCAGAUGACACCUGCCAGUUGGACAUGUACACCUUACAGUCCUUCCAUACACCGAAUAUACUAGCCCUAUUGCUUAUAGUAUCUGAGAUAUGGACUUGACCACCAAAAC